Pelobates cultripes (western spadefoot toad) is the source of this 228-nucleotide non-coding RNA. NCBI's taxonomy places the organism in Eukaryota, Metazoa, Chordata, Amphibia, Anura, Pelobatidae. The record is from the annotation of a GenBank genome assembly.
CAGCUCAGCUAUUGACAGCAGAGAGGGAGCUGAACAUCUAUAUACCAAGCCGCCUGCGUUAGGAGAUGACACCCAGGCAGAUACAGAGUAAGUGAAAUACUACCGGCCUGUGUCUUCCGUUUGUAACUUGAAUGAGAUUUGAAUGAAGCAGCUUUGUUGCUUAUUACAUGAAAGCAGAGGAAACCCAUGUAGACUAAAUAUUAUACCGCAAGAUUGGUUCACUUAGCG